RNA transcript from Microcebus murinus (gray mouse lemur), 5639 nucleotides. It is a transcript of the gene named zinc finger protein 550, with no coding region annotated. Lineage: Eukaryota; Metazoa; Chordata; Mammalia; Primates; Cheirogaleidae. The record is from RefSeq and is a predicted model, not a curated record.
AGAGAGAUCUUGCCUCAAAAAAAAAAUUCCAAUGAAAAGUCAUAAAAACAUUACCUUCAUUAGUUUAUCCAGUCCCAUGUAAUUAAUUCUUAUUCUGCUUGAUCUUGGGACAGCAGUUUCGUGAAUCUUUCAGUUUUUUCACUAGAGUUCUGAAAAUUCUUACCCAAUCCGAUGGUAUGAUCUUAAAUUUAUCACACACCUGUAGUCGUCAGAGUCUUUUCCAUAAAUCUCUUUGAAGACAAAGCACUUAAGGGUCAUGGUUUCUUGGAAAUGCUUUCAGGAAAGUAUUAAAAAUAACAAUUAAUUGUCUGGAGAUGACAAGUCUUAAAUGGGGGCAUGUGUGUAAGUCUUUAUUGGAUCUCUAAGGACCACUUCAAUGUAGCCUUGAAAUUAUGCUUGGUAAUGUCAGGUAGGGCUAAGGGCAUUUAGGUAGCAGCACAGGUAAUAGGAGGAUGUGGUCAAGGCCAGAAGGUCAGGACCAAUAACAACGGAGGAAAGAAACCACAACAGCAGGAACUUGAGGUUAGGAACUUUUCCCAACCUGGAGCAUGCACAGAAGCUAAAAGCUUGUGAUCAAAAGGGAACUUUGCCUCAUUAACACAGUAAAAUGCACACCCACCCAAGCCACGACAGUUUACAAAUGCCAUGGCAACCCUGGGAACUUACCCUAUAAGGUCAGAAAAGAGGAGGAACCCCAAUUUGGAGAACUCACCACCCCUUUCUUCAGAAAAAUCACAAAUAUUUCACCCCCAGCUUAGCAUAAAAUUAGGGAACCAACAUAAGAAGGUGAACUUCAUUAUGUUCAGGGUCUUCUCCACUGGCAGAGGCAGACACGUUCCUUUCUCCAGAAUGUACUUUUGCUUUGUAUCCUAUGCUUUUUAAUAAAGGCUGCUUGUGUGGAAUUGCUUUGUGUCUGUCAUUGCGCUGUGGCCCUGGCCCUGUUUGCGAUUCUUCCAAGCAAGGAGCCAAAGGAUCAGGACAUCUCUCCGAAAAACACACACAACCUAACAGAAGCAGCCUAUGAAAUUAAAGAAUUUGCCACACUCACAGGUCCUAAAGAGGUAGGCAUGGCACUUCACAGAGGAGGCUCAACUGGGCCAGUGGAGAGCUGAAAGACAGUGUGGACCCGCGGGAAAGUACCUUUAUCUGGGGCCAGGGUGGAGUAUGGAAGUAAAAAGGCGGCAAGGAGAUUUUACUGGUGUGUUUGAAUGUCACUAGGUCACAGUCAAGGGAUGGCAAGAAGGGGAACUUGUGGCUGAUGCCAGCCUUAUCGCACUGGUGCACCUGGUGGCCUGGUGGGGGUGCUCACAGCCAGUUUGUGGGGAUGUUGAGGCACCAGAGUAAUAUGAAGUUUUAAACAUUUACAACAGUGUGUCCACUAGCUCCCUUAAGAGCACCUGAAAUAAAUUGCAGAAAACACGACCAUGAAAAGGGGACGCACGCUUGAAAGGGUGCGUCCCCUUUAAGUAUACCCAAGGCCCCGUCCUUCACGGGAGACUCGGGAUGCAGUUUCCCAGACCGCUCCGCACUUGAGGUUGAACGAGGUGCAUCUCUGCCCUGGCCGGAUGCAGGCGAAAACUACAGUACCCAGAAGGCAGCGGGGCGGCGGGGCGCACUGCACCAAUGACGGCACGAGAGGCGUUGCCGGGGGCGGGGCUUCCGCGAUCCUGGGUGGUCGUUUGUUUGUGGCGUGGAGUGUGCGUCCGCGCCGGCUGCGAGCGCGCGGCCGGCGAGUGGGGGUGACGGGGUCCGCCUGCUGAAGAGGAUGGGUGCCCCGUGCGCUCCUCUGUAGGACCCAGAAAGGCCUCUGAGCCCACGGAGAUCGCCUCAGGCGGCCCGGUUCCCCUCACGGCCGAGGGCGGCGGCGAUGGACGCGGCGCGGGUGUUGGUGACUUUGAAAGAUGUGGCUGUGACCUUCACCCGAGAGGAGUGGAGACAGCUGGACCUGGCCCAAAGGACCCUGUACCAAGAGGUGAUGCUGGAGACCUGUGGGCUCCUGGUUUCUUUAGGGCAUUGCGUUCCCAAACCAGAGCUGAUCCACCUGCUGGAGCAUGGACAGGAGCUGUGGACAGUGAAAAGAGGCCUCUCCCACAGCACCUGUGCAGGUGACAGACCACAACUUCAGACCAGAGAGCCAACCACUUGUCUGCCGGUCUUAUUUCAGGGAGCCUUUCUCCAGGGAAGCCUGAGUUUGGGAUCUUCAAGGGACUUCAGACUGGGGAGAUCCAGGGAUCAGGAAGGGCUUUUGGAAAUGCAGAAAGGUCAGGUGAAGCCAGGGGCAGACCUCCACAAGGAGACCCAUCGAGAGGAAAUGAGCCUUGAAAGUGAAGGUUUGGGGAUGGAAGGCAGUCUACACUCCGGGGUGUUACUGGAGCAGGUAUCUCCAGGAGAUGUUCUCCUUCAAUGUGACUCACAGCAAACAGGGAAAGACACCUCAAUUCAUGGAGGGACAAACUCCUACAAAUGCAAACAGUGUGGGAAAGGUUUUAGCCGGAAGUGGUAUCUUGUACGACAUCAGCGGGUUCACACUGGAAUGAGGCCCUAUGUAUGCAAUGCGUGUGGGAAAGCUUUUAGCCAGAGCUCAACCCUCAUUCGACACUACCUCAUACACACCGGGGAGAAACCAUACAAGUGCCUUGAUUGUGGGAAGGCCUUCAAACGCAGGUCGUAUCUCAUGCAGCACCAUCCAAUCCACACUGGAGAGAAGCCCUAUGAGUGCAGUCAGUGUCGAAAGGCCUUCACCCAUCGCUCUACUUUUAUUCGCCAUAAUAGGAUCCACACGGGAGAAAAACCCUUUGAAUGCAAAGAAUGUGAUAAAGCCUUCAGCAGUAGGGCACACCUAAUUCAACACUACAUCAUCCACACUGGAGAGAAGCCCUAUGAUUGCGUGGAGUGUGGAAAGGCCUUCAGAUGCAGCUCAGAGCUCAUGCAGCACCAGCGGAUUCACACUGGGGAGAAGCCCUAUGAAUGCACUCAGUGCGGGAAAGCCUUUCAUCGGAGCACAUACCUCAUUCAACACUCUGUCAUCCACACUGGGGAGAUGCCCUACAAGUGCAUUGAGUGUGGCAAAGCCUUCAAACGCAGGUCACACCUCCUGCAGCACCAGCGGGUCCAUACUUGAGAGAAGCUCUAUUGGUGCAAUGAAUGUAGAAAUGCCUUUACUGCUGCUGCUCUUUCAUCCCUCAUGAUGGGACCCACACUGGAGGAAAUAACCUGAGUGCUAAGAAUGUUAGAAAGCUUUUUAUUUUUUGUCAGUUCUUUCUUAAUUAAAUGCACAAGUAGUCAACAUUGGGGGAGAAGCCUUGUAAGUGCAGUGAGUGUAAGAUGCCUUCAGCCACCACCCAGCCCUUACCCGUAGCAGAAGGAUUCACAGCAGAGAGAAAUGCAGAAGGCAUUGCACUUGCAUCAACACCAGAGAACUCAUGCUGGGGAAAGACAUUCCAAAUAUAACUACUGAGAACAGUCUGAAAAAAGAAAAAAAAUCUCAUGUGCCACCUGAUAAUGCAUAAUGAAGAGUUACUGCUUAAUUGUCAUCACUCUGAGAGAACUUUCUGUGUCCAGGUCAUUACUUGUCAUGUAAAGAGCCAUAUUGGAACUUGACCCACCUUGUGAUUUAUUCUAUGAAUGUAUAGAAACCUUCAGUGUCAGCGUGGUGAUCACCUUAUUUGGUCUUCUCAGUUCUUUCAGAACCACUCAGGUGAGCUUUGAUGCAGUGAGCCAUUAUAUGAUGAAACUGGACUUGAAGGCUCUGGACAAAGAGAGCAUCCCUCUGUCCUGGUCUCUGCAAGGACUUAAAUUUUGAUGUACUUAUUCCCAUUCAUCUCAUUCAUCACUCCACAUACAAUCCACAGUUGUAGCAGGUCUGCACCACCUGUACUAACUUGAUGUCUAUUUGCUCUUCUAUCAACAAAUGCAGCACUUGUACAACUGCAAGCUAGGGACAACCUAAAGGUCAAGACUAUAACAACGUUUUCUCACCAAUGCCACCAAGAGUUUUUACUCAUCUUUCUCCUCAAAAUCACUUUAGAGUUGACAGCUGCAUCAGUUACCCAUCCUCAUCACUAACUGCAAAGUUAUCACAAGUUCAGAAAAAACUCACAAGGCUUCACAGAAUAUAAUCAUGUGAGGCUUUUAUAGGCAAAGAUAAGGCACAGUGAGAUAAAGGGAGUUCUGGUCAGCAUGAGAUCUGAGGGCUGCAGGGACAACUCUACUGGCUCAUUAUCUGCACAUGGAUGUGUUCAUUGUCAGCUCCAAGAAAUCAAGACGUUUAAGGCAAAAACGUCAUGGCCUCCUGGUAUCACAAUUAAGCUAGGUUGCCUAACUAUGUAGGUAAUUUUGAAAUCACCAAUAAACAAACUGGCUCUGGAAAUUACCUUGAAAUUUUGUUACCUUGAAAUUUUUAAACUUUAAACAGCACAUAAAUUCUAGUGUCCAUAUAUCAAUCACCAAAAGUGUCAAAGCCAGACAUCCAGUUUUUACAAUAAAAAUGGAGCUUUUCCAGUGCAGUUGUAAAUUAGCUCUACCUUACAGAAAAUGAAUACAUGAUAUACCAAGAUUUGUGAGAUGCUGCUAAAAUAAUAGAGAAAAACUUAUAAAUACCUAUACUAGAAAAGAAUAGUCUAAAAUUAAUGUCAGAUUCUGCCUUAAGAAAUUAGAAAACUAAGGGAAAUUAAAGCCAAAAUUGAGUAAAACUUUUAUUCAAUAUUAGACUGAAUGUUUUGAAGAGAUGCUAGACUUCUAUUCAAUGUUGAACUGAAGGUUUUAGCCACUACAAUGAGGCAAUAAAAAGAAAGAAAACGGAGGGUGCCGCCUUGCGCGAUCUGGCGGCCGUGUCCGCCCCCGCGGCGGAACUCGCUGUCCGCGCAGUUCUUUCUCCUCAGUCCGGGAGGCGCGGUGACCGCCACGGCCUCUGUCACCCUGCGGGUGCUGGCAGGCCCGUAGGGAGGACGCUGCGACACUGCGGAAGCCGAGGAACAGGGUCGUGCGGGCCGGGCGUCCCAGCUGCCGGAGGUGCGUGCCGGGCAGCUCGGCCUCGCGUCGCCCGGCGGCGCGGGAGGCGGAGGACGCAGUGGCACUCCUUUCCCGGCCGCGUGGCGAAGCCCGCGCGCAGCCUCGUCCGGCAGCCACGUCGCCCCAGAUUGUGCGGGAGGACGAGAGCGUCCCCAGGGGAGAAUCCCCACUAGGUGUGCGGGGUUCCUGCGGGGAGGAGCUGUGAACUGUGGGGUUCUCUAUCCCUCCUUUCUCCUGUUAAAAAUGAAACCGAGGAAUGCUAAAACUCCUCACAGAAUCUCUCUCGUUGGUACCCAGAUGGGAGUUGUUCCAGUUUCCUGGUACUUGGGUGAAGAACAAGGAGGAGGUCUGAAGAAGCCAAUUAUGAACCACUUCCAAACCUACACAAUCACACUACACAGAGUGGGGUCCAGAAUCCCAAGUGAUUUACAUGCUCAUUAAAGACCGAGAGACAAUGUGCAGGUCUUGCUGUCGCUAACCCAGACCUGAUCAUCUGUGUGGAGUAGAAGAAAGAGCCCUGGAAUGUGAAGAGACACAUGAGAAAGUAGCCAAGCCCAGAGAUGGGGUCUUGCUCUUGCCGAAGCUGGUCUUGAACUCCUGACUUCAAGGCAUCCUCCCACCUCAGCCUC